RNAcentral lists this ribosomal RNA (492 nucleotides) under uncultured bacterium. RNAcentral describes it as "partial 16S ribosomal RNA". It matches the Rfam family "Bacterial small subunit ribosomal RNA", at positions 29 to 507 of the family's 1533-position model. The record is from RNAcentral.
AGUGAACGCUGGCGGUAGGCCUAACACAUGCAAGUCGAACGGCAGCACAGUAAGAGCUUGCUCUUACGGGUGGCGAGUGGCGGACGGGUGAGGAAUACAUCGGAAUCUACUUUUUCGUGGGGGAUAACGUAGGGAAACUUACGCUAAUACCGCAUACGACCUACGGGUGAAAGCAGGGGAUCUUCGGACCUUGCGCGAUUGAAUGAGCCGAUGUCGGAUUAGCUAGUUGGCGGGGUAAAGGCCCACCAAGGCGACGAUCCGUAGCUGGUCUGAGAGGAUGAUCAGCCACACUGGAACUGAGACACGGUCCAGACUCCUACGGGAGGCAGCAGUGGGGAAUAUUGGACAAUGGGCGCAAGCCUGAUCCAGCCUUACCGCGUGGGUGAAGAAGGCCUUCGGGUUGUAAAGCCCUUUUGCUGGGAAAGAAAAGCAGCAGGUUAAUACCCCGCUGUUCUGACGGUACCCAAAGAAUAAGCACCGGCUAACUUCGUG